GUGCUUUGGCAGCACACAUACUAAAAUUGGAACGAUGCAGAGAAUAUUAGCACGGCCCCUGUGCAAGGAUGACACGCAAAUUUGUGAAGUGUUCCAUAGUUUU
RNAcentral lists this small nuclear RNA (103 nucleotides) under Ovis aries (sheep). The record is from RNAcentral. Lineage: Eukaryota; Metazoa; Chordata; Mammalia; Artiodactyla; Bovidae.